GACGGAGGGUGCAAGCGUUGUCCGGAAUUACUGGGCGUAAAGGGCGCGUAGGCGGUCAGGUCAGUCCCGUGUGAAAUCCCUCGGCUCAACUGAGGAACUGCACGGGAAACUGCCUGGCUUGAGUUCGGGAGAGGGAAGCGGAAUUCCGGGUGUAGCGGUGAAAUGCGUAGAUAUCCGGAGGAACACCGGUGGCGAAGGCGGCUUCCUGGACCGACACUGACGCUGAGGCGCGAAAGCGUGGGGAGCAAACAGG
This 253-nucleotide ribosomal RNA is filed under the name uncultured bacterium. Its description in RNAcentral is "partial 16S ribosomal RNA". It matches the Rfam family "Bacterial small subunit ribosomal RNA", at positions 524 to 776 of the family's 1533-position model. The record is from RNAcentral.